GGCGAGCUAAACAGGGGAGAUCCUUCCAAACGAAAAACACGGGACGAAUGCGAGCGAAGCCUCCCUGCCUGCCGGUUGCCGGCCGACCUGGCGCAGCGCAGCCUGCGACGAGUCCACCUCCAGCGACCGAUUUCACCCUCGCUCCACCGCGCCGGCAUCGUCCGCACUCCGCGACAGAUCUCCCCUCUCUCCUUCCUUGGCCAAUCUCCGGUGGCUGCUGCCGCUGCAGCCGUGAACCAGACGCGAGCCGCCGCCUCGACCCUCGUAGCCUCGUGCGCCCGUGGCCUGUUCGACGGAAUUCCCCGCCGGGGCGCCUGGUUCGGCUUCCGGCGCUGAGGAUGCUCUUGCGGGCGUACGUGGGCAUCCUGGCACGCGGAGCCAGGCCCGACGCGUACACGCUCCUGCCAUAAUGCCAUUGCUCAAUGCGCGGUGUGGAGCCGGCUGUCGGACUCCGUUCACGCGCAAGUCGUGGCUAAGUUUGGGCUAGAGCUCAACGCCCGCUUGCCAAAGCUCUCUGGUCCUCAAGGUGAGGAGGCUAUCCAUAUGAUUUACAGAAUGCUCCAGAUGAAGGGGCAGUCAUCAGUGCAUAGCGAAACCAGCCACAGAAGCCACUAAAGGUCAGCCUCGGGAUACCAAGCUCCCUCGCGAUGUCACCAGUCCACCAGUGAAUCAGGUCAGAUAUGAUGCAGCUCGGAGGCGAGCACUGCUGCUCAUGGAGGUAUGCCUUGAGCGGCUCCUGAAGCAUAGCGAUGGCAUACAUGAAGUUGGGGAGAAGAUCCGUGGAUUGGAUCAUGUCUAGGUUCUCGCACCCGUCCGGUAGGCCGAACUCGGCGCUCGGGAAAUGGAGCUCCAUGAGCCGAACUUCCAGGCCCGACGCCUCCACAUCGGCUGCAAAGCCUGCCAACCUGGAGGCGUUCACUGGCGUGGUGAUGAAGCUGACAUGCGCUCCGUGCUCUGCCAGCAGGCGCGCCAUGUCGGUGAUGGGGAUGGUGUGCCCCUGAGCCAACAUCGGUACCAGCACAAAGUGCGCCCUCAUGGAGCCGCUCUGGCCAUCGCCACUGCCCGUGAAGGUCAUGGCUAAUCGGCUGUUGUAGCAAAAGUACUGGUGAUGGAGUCAGUCAAACUGGGAGAACAGUGACACUGGCAAGAUAGCAUGAUCUGCUGGACACAAUCAGAUGAUGGUCACAAUGGCAACUAUAGUGUGUGUAUAUAACACCUGGUGCUAUACCUUCCCAAGGAAAGUUGACGAGCUGACGAUGCAACAGCGUAUCAAAUUGGCCACCUCUUGCCAGUGACGCAUGCUCUCACAUCAAUCAUGGACUCGUGGAGUCAGCCAUGUGGAUGAAUCUUCAGGUUCUGAAUCGUCAGAAUCCAGGCCAUCUGAUCAGACAUUGAGGGCUCAGAUUAACCACCGCUACCGCCUGUCACGCUCAAAGAGGAGUCAUUUUUACAGGAUUUGGAUGAUCCCCAUGUCUGAUGCUGACUUGUCGUAUAUGCACACUUACUUAACUCUCAAGGCUGUGGAAGGCCGAGCCAGCCGAUAUAAUAUGAUAGUGCAUUAUUUUCUGUGUGGAGAUUCAGUCAUUCAGUGUACUGUGAUAGUGGGUGGAAUUUUCUUGUUUGUAUCCUUUCAGAGUUUUGUUAGUGAGAAGCUAAAAGGAACUCCCAGUGACAUGGAAAAUAUGAGUCCAUUUCUGGAGCGACGCAAUGCAUCCUAAUCAACACAGUGGCUUCCUGACGCAAAGAGGGACGAGAAGCCACAAAAGCCACUAAAGGUGAGCCUCGGGAUGCCAAGCUCCCUUGCAAUGUCGCCGGUCCACCAGUGCAUCAUGUCAGAUAUGAUGCAGCUAGGAGGCGAGCGCUGCUGCUCACGGAGGUAUGCCAUGAGCGGCUCCUGAAGCGCGGCACAGGUCUCCAUGAAGUUCAGGAACAAAUUCUUUGAUUGGAUCAUGUCGAGGUUCUCGCACCCGUCUGGUAGGCCGAACUCCGCUGUCGGGAAGUGGAGCUCCACGAGCUGAACCGCCAGGCCCGCCGCCUUCACGUCAGCGGUGAAGCCCUCCAACCUAGCGGCGUUGACGGGCGUGGUGAUGAAGCUGACCUGCAUGCCAUGCUCUGCCAGCAGGCGUGCCAUGUCGGUCAUGGGGAUGGUAUGGCCCUGAGCCAUCAUCGGUACCAGCACGAAGUGCGCCCUCGCGGAGCCACUCUGGCCAUCGCCGCUGCCGGCGAAGGUCAUGGCUGAUCGGCCGUGGCAGCAAAAGUGCGAGCGGAGUCUGUCAAGUUGGGAGGACUUGGAAGCCGUGCAAUGGCAACCGUAAUGUAUAUACAGCAGCACCUGGUGCUAUAUCUUCCUAAGUUGAGCUGACGAGCUGACAAUCGAAUGGGUGCAGCGCAGCAGCAGCGUUUCAACUUGGUCACCUCUUACUAGUGAUGCAUGCUCUCACGUCAGUCAUGGACUCCUAGUCAGCCAUGUGGAUGAAUCUUCUUCACUUCUGAACCAUCAGAAAGGGGGCAUCCAGGCGGUUCGAUCAGAUAUCGGAUGGCGCAGAUUAGCCCCCGCUACUGCCGAAAGAGGAGUCAUUUUUAUAUGAUUUGGACGCCAUUCAAUGCACUGACUUUGCUGCCCGGAUGGUCUUCAGGUCUGAUGCUGACUUGCCGUAUAUGCAUGGUGCUGCUCAACUCUCAAAGCUGUGGAAGGCCUUUGUAAGUGAGAAGCUUCUGCAGAGAAAAGAACCCCCAUCGAUUUGGAAAAUACGAGUCCAUUUUUUGAGUGACGCCAAUGGAGGCAAUGCAUCGUAUUCAACACUGGUAUAGACUUGCUGUCGCAAAGAGGUAUUCCUUUUCCGUUUUGUUUCGCUGUCUGUCCUCGCUCCUCAGCGCAUCAUCAUGCACACAAAACCAAAUAAACACACUCUUAUCUAAAAAAUGCUCCUAGUUUAGUACUCCUAACAAAUAACCUGUGGCGAUUAGCAAUGAAACAAGGUUUGUUAUUAUCUGAUUUUAUUGGAUGAUACUCUAAACUCUGGUGGAGCACGACCCGGAGAGUGUGUCGUUUUAUAUGACGGGCUCCAGGGAGCCCAUUUUUGAAGAAGAAAAAUCAAAAUAUAUUUAAAAGAAAAAAAUUCUACAACUACAUAUACAGAUUCUGUAAGUACUGCUUCCGUAAAGAAAUAUAAAAGCAUUUAGAUUACUAAAGUAGUGAUGUAAACGCUCUUAUAUUUCUUUACAGAGGGAGUAUCUGCGAGGUUUCAUUAAAUAAUACUCCCUCAGUUCCUAAAUAUUUGUCUUUUUAGAGAUUCAAAUGGACUACCACAUACGGAUGUAUAUAGACAUAUUUUAGAGGUGUAGAUUCACUCAUUUUGCUCCGUAUGUAGUCAUUUGUUGAAAUCUCUAGAAAGACAAAUAUUUAGGAACGGAGGGAGUACAAUUAUUUGCAGGCUACUGAAAAAAGACAAAAAACUGGCCGAAAUACAUCAAAGAAAAAGCACAUUUAAUCCAUGUAUGUCUUUUGUUGUACAUCACAUAUAUGUACAUAAAUUUCAUACAUAUAUCGGAAAGGUGCGACGGCACCCGGGUGUCUCGGCACCCUGUAAUCGCGUCCAUCCACUAUGUAUGAGGAUUCGUGCUGGUAAAUGUACAUGUGCAGACGUGUUUCAACAGUAGAGUAAUUAGGACAGAUGUUUCAAGGGGACAAAGAGCGACGGGAGCUGGCAGUCAUCCAGAGAAAGGCGUUGCAGGGCUAGCAUGUCAAGAAUCCUUUGUCGGUCCACGAGACGGAUGAAAUGACAACAUACAGCCGCUGCAUGCACCCGUUCGUUUCAGAAGAGAUUCUCGUUCGCCACGUGUUGUUCAGCCUGCUUACUCCAUUCUCAUUUUGGUCUCUCCUUUCCGCCUGGUCAAUGCAACUGUUUUUGGUAGUACAAAUGUUCCUAGUAGGACUGAAAGAAGUAACCGAAAAACUUCGAGAGCCUUUGAAAAACACCGUUUUUUUCCGUUUUCAAUAACUGGGGCUAUUGAAGUUACCGUUAAGAGCAUCUGCAACAAGGGACCAAUUUUUUUGGAUACCGAAAUCCAUUUUUUAAUGAAGAGAGGUAAAUUACUGAGAUUAACAAGGCAAGUACUAGGCUAUAGCAGGGAAUUGUAGCCUUGUAGGCAUCCAGGAGGUCACGGAUAUCACCGGGAUAGGCAUGUCAGGACUACGGGCGGGCCAUCCUUGAAAGGACAAGGCAUAGAGGUGCAUGCGCUUAAUGAGGUACCGAUUCUGCCAAUGCAUCUGUUAGCUACAGUAUGACUCACAAAUCUCGAGGCACCAUAUUCUGAAUGAAUGGUCAGAUAGGAGGGUGCCUGGACACCCGGGAACUGAAAAUCCACUCUCUACAUAUAUACUACACAUAUAUGUGUGUAUAUUUGUUUCAGUUUUUUUAGAUGUAGAAAAUGUAUUUUCGCUGAGAAAAAAGAAGAGCCCCUAGAGCCUGACCAUAUGCACUUUUCUGAUGAUCUGAAUCACUAUCAUCAGCUGCCUGACACAUUGAAGGGCAAUAUGGGUGCUCUGAGGUGUGGUCGCCGCAUGCCACAACAAGGCUGAAGGGGCACGCACGAAUUCUGAUGUGGUUGGAUGGUGGAUUCAUCCGGUAGAACCGGCUCCACUAGGAUUUCAUUUCGAAGAAAAACAUAGCAUAUUAUUUGUUCAUACACAAGACACCUCACAC
Long non-coding RNA from Triticum aestivum (bread wheat), 4706 nucleotides. RefSeq lists it as uncharacterized. The transcript has 4 exons. The record is from RefSeq and is a predicted model, not a curated record. NCBI's taxonomy places the organism in Eukaryota, Viridiplantae, Streptophyta, Magnoliopsida, Poales, Poaceae.